This 2301-nucleotide long non-coding RNA is filed under the name Olea europaea (common olive). RNAcentral's name for it is "long non-coding RNA (OEUR_LNC001801)". The record is from RNAcentral. Lineage: Eukaryota; Viridiplantae; Streptophyta; Magnoliopsida; Lamiales; Oleaceae.
AACAAUUAGUUUUUCCAAUGACAUUAAAGAGGAUUUCUUAAUCUGUGUGAAAAAUAAAACAAAUCUAUAUUAUUGAGACGGAUGGAGUAGAUUUUUUGUUUAAAAAAUAAUGGGGAUCGAAACACGCCUCUUCAUUUCUCCAACAAAAAAGAUGUUUAUUGUAUUCAAUUCUUCUUCUUUGGGUCCGUUGAUCUUGCUUACUGUCUUCAAAGACAUUCCUCUUCCUCAAUUGCCAGCUGAAAUCGCAGCCUAAACAGUUCUUCCUUAGCCACCAACUGAAAUCACAAUUGAACACAAUUGUUCUUCCUUCUUUAUUUGUUCUUCAUCUUCGACACGCCUUCUGUUCUUCGUCUCCCACACACCAAAAUGGACCUCCUACACUUGUCCACGUGUCGAAGAAAUACCAAUGUCCAAUGCAUGUUAGACAUCGAUAGCAUGUCAAUGCUUCCCAGCAUAAGGUAACUGAAAUCAUAUGUGAGAAAAUCCCAUAUCAUACAAGUAUAAAGUCAAGUCCACCAUUCCUAAAAAAUACUGAAAACCCAAGGAUAGCUAACCAAGAGGGGGGUGAAUUGGUUGUAUAAACUUUUUCGAAAAUUAAUUUUAGAUUUAAACCAAUACAUAAGUAAAUGAAUCAAUUAAUCAAAUAACCACAAACACGAUAACAAGCAAAGAACAAUAUAAAGAUUUGAGUAAUAAACAAAUGUAAAAACUAUAAGUAAAAGGGAAUAGAAGCAAAACGAUAUGUUGUGGAGGUUCGAUCCAAUGCAAUGAUUUACGUCCCUGUUACCAAGCUCUCCAACACGAGCAAGGUCUUUUUCAUUAUAUUGAUUGACUUAUGGUGCAAUCCAACAUUCUACAAAGCUUUAGGUGACUCACAAACAAGGAGCACUAAUCUUUUACAACGUUGAGCUUUUCCGGACCUCAACAUGACCCACAUGAUUGAGCUUUACGGGACCUCAAUAUGACCCAUACGGUAACUUACAACAAGGAGCACCAAUCCUUACACAAUGUUGAGUUUUCUGAGACUUCAACACGACCCACUUUUUAUCAAAGUGAUUUUACAAUCAAAUCAUCUCUUGAUAAAUAAUACAAAACAAAUUAAGUACUAAGAGAGGCUAACACUUCAAUAAAUAGUAACAAAUGAUAGCUCAAGUGUUAGAUGAAAAAUUUUGAUGAAGAAAAUUAAGUUCAACCAAUCAAAGUAUUUUAAUGAGAAGAUGAAGAAGAAUUAAAUGCAAUAUAAAUUCAAAUAAUCUUCUCAAGAAAUAUCUCUAUUUUAAUGAAUGAUUAUAAUAAAUCAAGUACUAAGAGAGAAAUGAGAAACUUUGAUGAAUAUGAUAAUUUUACAAAUUUGAUUCAAUCAAUCAAAGUUUUCAAUAUGAAGAAGUUGAAAAGUUUGUGCAUUAUAAGUGCAAAGAACUUCUUCAAGAAUAUAUCUCUCUUUGAAAAUUGAUAUAAAUAAGUUGAACACAAACAAAUAUGAAAAACUUUGACGAAAGAAAUUAUUCAAGAAAUUUGAUUCAACAAUCAAAGUUUUUCAAUAUAAAGAAGUAGAAAGAUUUAUGCAAUGUAAGUGCAAAUACCUUCUUCAAGAAUAUACCACUCUUUUAAGAAUGAUAUAAAUAAGUUAAACACAAAGAAGGAUGAAAAACUUUGAUGAGAAUAAUGAUUAAUGAGUUUAAAUCAAUCAAAAUUUUUGAUAUGAGGAAACAAAUGAAAUGAAUGCAAAUGAAGGCUCAAAGAAUUCUUAAAACAAAAAUAUCUCACUUUGAUUCACUUGGAAAAAUCUUUAAGAAUGGAAAGAGUAAGGAUAUUUGUAGAGUUCAAAAACGAGAAAAAAAUCUGUAUUGGCGGAAGACUAGUCUGGUCGACUGCCAUUUGUUCGGAAGAUCAAUAUAGCCGUUUGUACAACAAAAAUCAGAAGUCAGAACGGUUAAAUUCUAGACCAUUAGAGGGUGCCCGGUCGACCGCCUCCUACGGCCGGUCACCUCUCUGGGCGGUUGACCGCCCAGGCAGCGCGAUGAUUUCACGUUUUGACCCCAUUUGUUCCGAUUUGAAAGUUUUGAAGUGCGUGGACCUUUGAAAAAUAUUUUUAACUAUUUUUUCAUGAUAAAAAUAUUUUUUAAAAGUCCAAAUAUCACUUUUAAAAGUCAUUUUUAUAUUUGAUCAAAACAUUGCAUUGGAAUGACUUUUAAUGCACAAAAAUUAUUUUCAAUGCAUAGAAGUAUUUUGAACUUAACCAUUCAUUGUCAAAUAUCAAAGUGUUAAUACCUUUACAUUUUGUCUAAAAAAUCAAGUCUU